AAUCACAGCCUCAGACCAGGUGGGCGCAAGGGACUGCGGGUUAUGUAGUCCAUGCUCAGUGGGACUGCAGCCCCCAGUGUUCCCCGCGCGUCAGGGAGGAGCAGUGCGGCGGCGCGGGCGGCCGUCGGGGCUGGGCGGCGGCGGCGGCGGCUAAGAGGGCCCGGCUUGUGGGAGCCAAGGUGGGAGCGGGCCUCGGCGCGCGGCCACCAUGUCCGCGCCGUCGGAGGAGGAGGAGUAUGCGCGUCUGGUGAUGGAGGCGCAGCCGGAGUGGCUGCGCGCCGAGGUGAAGCGACUGUCCCACGAGCUGGCCGAAACCACGCGUGAGAAGAUCCAGGCGGCCGAGUAUGGACUGGCGGUGCUUGAGGAGAAGCACCAGCUCAAGCUGCAGUUCGAGGAGCUCGAGGUGGACUAUGAGGCCAUCCGCAGCGAGAUGGAGCAGCUCAAAGAGGCAUUUGGCCAGGCACACACAAACCACAAGAAGGUGGCUGCUGAUGGAGAGAGCCGGGAGGAGAGCCUGAUCCAGGAGUCCGCCUCUAAGGAGCAGUACUAUGUGCGGAAGGUGCUGGAGCUGCAGACAGAGCUGAAACAGCUGCGCAAUGUCCUUAUCAACACUCAGUCUGAGAAUGAGCGCCUCACGUCUGUGGCCCAGGAGCUGAAAGAGAUCAACCAGAAUGUGGAGAUUCAGCGUGGUCGCCUGCGAGAUGACAUCAAGGAGUACAAGUUCCGGGAGGCCCGUCUACUUCAGGACUACUCUGAGCUGGAGGAGGAGAACAUUAGCCUGCAGAAACAAGUGUCUGUGCUCAGGCAGAACCAGGUGGAAUUUGAGGGCCUCAAGCAUGAAAUCAAGCGUCUGGAGGAGGAGACAGAGUACCUUAACAGCCAGCUGGAGGAUGCCAUCCGGCUUAAGGAGAUCUCUGAACGGCAGUUGGAGGAAGCGCUGGAGACGUUGAAGACAGAGCGAGAGCAGAAGAACAACCUACGUAAGGAGUUGUCGCACUACAUGAGCAUCAACGAUUCCUUCUAUACCAGCCACCUGCAGGUAUCCUUAGAUGGCCUCAAGUUCAGUGAUGAUGCUGUCACUGCUGAGCCCAACAACGACGCCGAAGCCCUGGUCAAUGGCUUUGAGCACAGCGGCUUGGUCAAAGCGUCGUUGGACAACAAGACAUCCACACCCAGAAAGGAUGGCCUGGCUCCGCCCUCCCCCAGCCUUGUUUCCGACCUGCUCAGUGAGCUCCACAUAUCUGAGAUCCAGAAGCUGAAGCAGCAGCUGGUGCAGAUGGAGCGGGAGAAGGUGGGUCUGCUGGCGACAUUACAGGACACACAGAAGCAGCUAGAGCAGGCUCGGGGAACCCUCUCUGAGCAACAUGAGAAGGUGAGUCGUCUCACAGAGAACCUUAGUGCCCUCCGGCGCCUGCAGGCUGGCAAGGAGCGACAGACUUCCCUGGAUAACGAAAAGGACCGAGAUAGCCAUGAAGACGGUGACUACUAUGAGGUUGACAUCAAUGGGCCUGAGAUCCUGUCCUGCAAGUACCAUGUAGCUGUGGCCGAGGCUGGCGAGCUCCGGGAGCAGCUCAAGGCCCUGCACAGCACACAUGAAGCUCGGGAAGCCCAGCUUGCAGAAGAAAAGGGCCGCUAUGAGGCUGAGGUCCAGGCUCUCACUGAGAAGGUGUCACUGCUGGAGAAGGCUAGCCACCAGGACCAAGAGCUGCUGGCCCAGCUGGAAAAGGAGCUGAGGAAGGUGAGUGACGUGGCUGGUGAGACCCAGGGCAGCCUGAAUGUGGCUCAGGAUGAGUUGGUGACCUUCAGCGAGGAGCUGGCCAAUCUCUACCACCAUGUGUGCAUGUGCAACAACGAGACACCCAACCGUGUCAUGCUGGACUAUUACCGUGAGGGGCAGGGCAAGGCUGGCCGCACCAGCCCAGAAGGCCGCGGGCGCCGCUCGCCUGUCCUUUUGCCCAAGGGGCUGUUGUCGACAGAGAUCGGCCGAGCAGAUGGUGGGACUGGGGACAACAGCCCUUCACCCAGCUCUUCACUGCCAUCACCAUUGAGUGACCCCCGCCGGGAACCUAUGAACAUCUACAACCUGAUCGCCAUCAUCCGAGACCAGAUCAAGCACCUGCAGGCAGCCGUAGAUCGUACAACCGAGCUGUCCCGGCAGCGGAUUGCCUCACAGGAGCUGGGCCCUGCUGUGGAUAAGGACAAGGAAGCACUCAUGGAGGAGAUCCUCAAGCUGAAGUCACUGCUGAGUACCAAGAGGGAACAGAUCACCACACUUCGUACUGUGCUCAAGGCUAACAAGCAGACGGCAGAGGUGGCCCUCGCCAACCUGAAGAGCAAGUAUGAGAAUGAGAAGGCCAUGGUGACCGAGACCAUGAUGAAGCUGCGGAACGAGCUGAAGGCCCUCAAGGAGGACGCAGCCACCUUCUCCUCCCUGCGUGCCAUGUUCGCCACCAGGUGUGAUGAGUACAUCACGCAGCUGGAUGAGAUGCAGCGGCAGCUGGCGGCUGCCGAGGAUGAGAAGAAGACUCUUAAUUCCCUGCUGCGCAUGGCCAUCCAGCAGAAGCUGGCACUCACCCAGCGGCUGGAGCUGCUGGAGCUGGACCAUGAGCAGACCCGCAGGGGCCGUAACAAGGCCACCUCCAAGGCCAAGCCAGCCACACCGAGCGUAAGUCACACCUGCGCCUGUGCCAGCGAGAGGGCGGAGGGCACCGGGCUGGCCAACCAGGUGUUCUGCAGCGAGAAGCACAGCAUUUACUGUGAUUAGGGCCGUGGGGCGCCGCAUACCGCUAACGUCCGCUUCACCUCAACUAACCCAGCUGCAGCAGCGGGACAGCAGUGCUAGGCCAGUCUUAACGUGACUAACGCACAGAGGGCGGCAUUCUGGGCGAGCGGCAGCAUUGGGGUACGUCUGUCACCAGGACACUUUGAGCUUUGUGCUGCUUUUCACUCCACAGCACCCCCCGGGAUAUCCCAUGUCAGUUGCUGUCUUGGGAUGCUGGUAUCAAAGGUAGGGGUGGAUCUGCACAGCUUUGUGGAAGACAGUGGGGUGAAAAUGUUUUCCAGGGCCUCCAGGCACUGUUAGGCGAACCCAAGGGUGAGUUCUUCCCUGGGCACUCACAGGGGCAGAACCUGAGUUGAAACUUGCAUGUUCUUCGCAUGUGUCUGCUGUCAGCACUUGAAAGCAGUUCUGUGAGGCUCUGGCCUGCAUCACAGGACUAGCCUAGGUUAGCUCUCUGUGGUUGGCGUAGUUUCAUGAAGACUUUCUUGUAGUUUGUGCAGCAUCUCACUGCAAACCACAUUCAGGACAGAAAUGCAGAACUUCUUCCCCAGACCCAGAGGGCAUGGACCCUGAAAGCCUGCCUUCUGCAGUGAGCCCCACACCUCAGACACAAUAACCGUAGCCCAGGAAGACAGAGCUGGGCUGCUCUAGGGUCUCAUCUCUGAGCUCUGCAUGCUGCUCUGCCCUGAGAGGAGACAGAUUGGCAGGGCCUGAGGUCCUAGGUUUCCUUUUUGAUGAGAAAGUGUUCCAAGUGCCUGGUCAGACCCUGGCCCUUGGUACAGAACCUGCUCUUUGGUCCUUUGAGAUCCUCAGCUUGUGCUUGGGUCCUUACCCAGAAGUUGUCAGACCCAAAGAAGCAAUGUUCUGAGAACUGUUAGUGCUCUGUCAGACUGUACGGCACAGUAGAGCCCAGCUGUGUGCGGCGGCUUUCUGUGGCCUGGAGCGGUGUUCAGCACCGGCAGGUAAGAGUUUUGCAGUUCAGUGUAGUAUGGGGAUGCUGCAGAAGGAAGAAAGGCCACCGAGGCUCUCCUCUUCAGAUGCUGUGGCAGUGCAGAGCUGUGGCACCAGGCGUUUGCGUUAGUGAGCUGUAAAGCAGGACUCUGCUCAGUAUUUCUCUCCCAGCCCCCACUGGGCAUCCAGUCCUAAGACUCCCAUCUCCCAUGACAGCUGCUUGGCUGCCUCCCUGCGGAAAGGCAUCUUUCAUGGUGUGGAACAAUCGCUACCCAAUAUGGGGCCCUGUAGUCUCUGAGACAGUUUUCUCUUUCUUCCCUCUGGUGCCUGGGGUGUCCCAGUGUGCCCAGAGUCUAGGCACCAACCACAGGGUCUACACUGGGGAUAGAACAGACCACAUGUGUCCCUUGCAUGUCCGUCCUGGGAAUGGCUGCCCGCAUGCCCACCCACCUUCUGCCUUUCUUUCUCUUCGGGCCAGAACGCAGCUUCUCUUACACCGUAUGGGGCUUUGUGGGCACUUGGAGCCCCACCCCUAACAUACUUGCAGCAGGCCUUCUGCCAACUAACGUGAUCGCUCACUCACACCCAGAACAGGAGCUUUAGCAGUCAAGUGAGCAGGGAGUGGCACUCGACUCAUUUCUAAUGCUGUCUUGUUUUCUCCUGUUUUCAGCUGUAGAGUAGCUGCCCGGAGGACGUGGCCACCAGGCCCUGUCACACUGCAGCCCCUCCCCCUCCCCUCCUGUGGCCCAUGCAGAGGAAGGAAGGGCAGCCUAAAGUCCACUUAGAAAUGUUUGGAUAUGCCACUGUAAUUCUUUCAAAAUAGCAUCCCCCAAGUUUUUAAUGGGAGGAAAAAAAAAGCUUUACUCUUGAGAAUGCUGCAAGCUGCUGCUUGGAAAGGUCUCUGGCCGAAGAACCUGCUUCCUUCCUUCCGCAGCCUUGGCCAGGCUCUAGGAGCUGGAAUGCCUGCUGGGGGUCCUUAUUACACAUGCUCCUUUUAAUCCGAUCAACCUGUGCACUUUUGAUAUUUUGAUAUUAUAUUUGCUUCCUUAAUUCCUUGCAUAGAGACGGUCUCCAGUGCCGUGGUCUGUGCGCGUGGUCCUGUAGCUGUCCGUCCUAGCUCUGGUGUGUUGACCUGCGUCAGCACAAGGUAGAGCUGAGCUCCAUGGUGUGUAGCUAGACUGCGGGUGAGGCUCCGACCCGGCAAGGAGCCGGCUAGUGUGUCCACGCUGUGGUUCAGCAGCCUUUAGAGGACAGGGCAUUGUGGUUCAUGUUUGAAAUUACAGAUUUUAAAUGCCAUGUUCAUUAAGAAAUCCAGGGUAUUCCAAUUCUGGGGUUUUUUCAUAUUGUAUUAUUAUUAUUAUUAUUCUUAGGAAUAGUUCAAUGUAACAAGAAGAAAACUUGACCUUUGCUCUGGUUAAAACAGUAAUAGGCACUUGAAAGCAUAAAUUAUUGAAUGAGUAGUAUUACCUACAAAUUCCAGAGUUUUCUGGGUUUUAGGACAUUGUGAAGCAUGACUGACUAACAGAAUUUUAUACAACUGCACCAGUGAAAUUCCAAAUUGGAAUUGUUUUGUUAUUCUGGUUGUCGUGCCAAAUUGUGGUACACUUAGAAAAUUCUACAGCCGUCGAUUUUUAGGUGUUCUAUUUCAACACCUUUUUGUUAGUAACCAUUGCCAGUAGUGCCUUCAUCAGUUCAGGGAGGUGUCCCAGCCAAGUAAGGUCUCUAGGAUGGGCAGCGGAGAGCUAGUUGGGAAUGCUGAAGGCCAGUGUGGACCAGGAGGUACCUGCCUCACUUCGUACUUGGGCAUCUUCAUUGAGGGAGCGAGAACAGUGAUUGUGCAAAAUUCUGUUAGUCAGUGAUACUUCACAUGCAAAUUCAGGGGCUUAGAAACAAAAACAAACACAAACCUGGACUGUGCUUUGGGAACCAAAUGGACUUCCUGGGACAGGCUAAGCAAGCUAUACAGACAUGGCGUUUGUGAAGAGCUGAGGGCGUCAGGAGAGCCGGCACAGUCGGCAUGUGAGUAGGGGAAGAGGGUUAGCCAUAGUAUUCUUUGCAAAUGUGAAAGUCAGACAUUAUAUCUUCUCUUGCUUGGUGUAACUAAUCACUGUUAAUUUCAGGAAACAGAAGUCAGUAAAACUCCUUAGUAAGCCCUUGCUAAGUGAGGUUCAGGGUGUGGUCAAAUUGGUACUAGUGGAGGAAAAGAAGUUGUCCUCCGGCCUAAAAAGGGACAAAUUACAAUAAUAUAAAUUGUUAGAAAUUGAAGAAUUCUGUUUCCUGGAAUGAGCAUUUCUUAUUCCUACUUGUUGGGACUCUUUGCCUUCUGUUACAGUGUUGAUUCACAUAAAACAUUGUUACAUUUAAGAUAACAUCAUCUGUACGGGGUAUUUAUUUGCAACGAUGUCUAAGUACUGUAUUUUUUCUGUGUGUUACCUUAGUGUCAGAAUGUUGGUCUUUAUUUUAAAAGUCAUAUGCAUGUUCUCCUGCCAAGGUACCUUUACACAGACCCGAAACAGUAACGAACAGAUGCCUUCGGUUUCUGAGACAAUGAGGCCAAGUGAGGAGAAGGCAUAGGAAGGUGAGACUAACCGAGACUUAGGUGGCGGUUGAUGGCGGACCGUCUCCACAGCCAGCACACAUAGGAAAAGUGGGCCUGGGUAAAGAGUCACAUUGGUAGGACCAAUAAAGAAUAAUAAAAACAACUGAAGCACAUGCUUGCCCUCUGUGAUUGCUUUUACUCCUGUACCAGGUGACUGCUUCCAGUGUGUACAGUAAGUCUGGGCCCCCAAACAGCCAAUCCUAUUGGUCACUGAGGGUGGGGGCCGGAAACAACCUGGAUUUAUUCUUGGGAGGCAAGAUGUGCCUCCAGAGUUGCCCACAUUGUUCAGUAUGAAGACUGGCAGAAAGGAGGUCAGAACUCAUUGCAGUUUGCAGGAUUCAUGACACAAACUCCUGUCUAGGAAGCAGCAGUUCAGAGGGAUAGACACCUGUGCUGGGCAAGGUCUUGCUUCAGACCUGGGGAUGAACAAAUCUUGGGGACGGGGUGAUCCUUACUUGCCAACCUCAGGCUGUAUUUAAUGUAGGAAUACGGACAGAGAUACACAGUGCUUUGGAAUAACUGCUUGUAGGUGUGAGAACUUGGGGCAGUGUCUAACUCCUUAGACAGCAGAUGCCAGGGCAUUCAUUCUCUGGCCAUCUCCUCUUCUUGCAGCCUCGUCUACCCAGGCUGUCUCUCCAGAAGCCUUCCCUGGCCCUCUGCAGUCAUCUUCCUCUGGCAGUACUGUAGGUAACCAAGACAGAGGUGGGACUCAAAUUACUAAAAUAAGAAAUGAAGGCAGAUAUACUACUGGUUUUACAGAAAUAUUAAGGAUAUAUAACAUACAUACAUACAUACAUACAUACAUACAUACAUACAUACAUACAUGUGUGUGUGUGUGUGUGUGUGUAUCUGUCUGUCUGUCUGUGUAUAUAUACAUAUGUAUAGUGGACCAUUAUGCACCAAAAAUAUUGACUCUCUGAGUCCAAAAUAAGAACUGUUUAAAAGUUAGAAUGAGACGAGGCUGGAGAUAGGACUAAGAACUUGAGGAUGUGCUGUGCUUACAAAGGACCUAGUUCAGUUCCCAGCACCCACCUCAGGAAGCUCACAAUCUUCUAUGACUCCAGCUCCAGAGAUCUGACAUCCUCUAUGGUCUCUAUGAACACUUGCAUUCAUAUUCAUAGGUACACACAGACAAACACACACACACACACACACACACACACACACACAGACAAACACACACACACACACAAACACACAGACACAAAUACACACAGACACACACAGAGAGACACACAGACACACACAGAUACACACAGACAAACACACACAGAGAGAUAGACACACAGACACAGAUACACACACACAGACACACACACACAUAGACACACACACAGACACAAAUACACACAGACACACACAGAUACACACACACACACACACACAGAUAGACACACAGACACACACAGAUACAUACACACACAGAUACCCACAGACACAUACAUAGAUACACUUCGAUGAGUGCAUGCAUGGACUAGUACACAAAUACAAAAACAGACUCAAAAAUUCCCUUAAGGGGGCGGUCAAGAAAAAAGAUAAAUGGACACAUGUUAGCCUGUUUUAAGAAACAAGCAGUAGGCAUUUGAGAAGAAAUUAAAUUGGUAAUGGAAAUAUCCCAGCAGGAGUUGGAUACAGAAGCAGUUUGGAGGACAUCAUCGCAGUCCAACAAGGUGAAACGAAACACUGAACAAAAAGCCGCUCUUUGACCCAUAUUUUAAGUAAAGUGUUAAUGGGGCAGGUUUCUUCGAAGUGCUUGUAAAAAUUCAGUACUACAAGAGAGAGAAGAUUCAGGAAGAACAGGUCAGAAGGGAGGUGGAAUUUUAAAAUCUGGGGAAACCUCAGCUACUGUCAUUGGAACAACUGAGAAAGCCUGCGGGGGGGGGGGGGGUAGGGGGGCCAAGGCGUGGCCACAGCCCUUUGAUGAAGUUGACCAACUGAAGUAGAGACUGUCUCAGAAACAGCAGGUGUUCUCUUCCUGUAAGAAGAUAGCAAUCCUUGGCAUGCAUCUACUUCACAAUAGAACACCUAACACAAACCUAGACCUUUGAAGGAAAAGUAGAUGAACCCACUAUCACACACAGACACUUCUAUACUGCUGAGCAGGAAAUGGCCAGAUGUGGGCAUCCUAGACCCAGAGGGUAAUCCCAGCACAGAGAAGGCAGAGGCAGGAGGAUUCUGAGUUCUAGGCCUCUGAGCUACACAGUGAGUUUCAGGCCAGUAUCAAGACCUUGUCUCAGAAAACCCAGGGAUGAAGCUUUGAGGCAAAAGAGUACUUGUCUAGCAUGCACUAGUAGGGCUCUGAAUUUGACUCACUGGGGGGUGUGGAUGGGGUGUGCACAAGAAAGGAGCAAAAAGUCAGCACUGCCAGUCAACCUGAGGUAGUCGACUACAUUCAAACUUUUCAGAAGAUCAUGUAGAGUGUACAUUCAAGACACCCAGUUCCAGCUCCAAGGCACACCGUAAACUGCAAGAACAGAAUUAUAUGAUGGGUACUCUGACCCCACGAUGGAGUUCAGCUAGAAAUCAUUAACAGAAGGAAAGCUGGAAAGUACCCAAAUAUUUGGAGAUUAAAACAGCAGCCUUCUGGGGGCUGGAGGGAUGGCUCAGUGGUUAAGAGCACUGACUGCUCUUCCAGAGGUCCUGAGUUCAAUUCCCAGCAACCACAUGGUGGCUCACAACCAUCUGUAAUGAGAUCUGAUGCCCUCUUCUGGUGUGUCUGAAGACAGCUACGGUGUACAGUGUAAUGAACAAAUAAAUCUUAAAAAAAAGAAAACAAAAACAAAAACAGCAGCCUUCUACAGAGCACAAGGACAGAACAAGUCUCCACAGAGAUGCAGAAUUGCACUGAACUGAAUGAAGGUGGUAAACGUGAGCACAUUUUGUGUUAAUGUAGCUGAAGGAUUCAUAAAGGAGAAAAAAUUAGUCAGCGAGAUAGGAAAUAGAAAAUCGGUACAGGAAAUGACCAAAAAAGCUGGUUCUUUGAAAAGAUUUUUGUAAGUUCAGUAAUGGGUGAAAUGGACCCAUUCCUUGGAAUACAGUCUACCGAGAAGAAAAGGUAAUGCAAGUUAAGCCUCUAUGAAAUCAUUUUUUACUUUAAUAUAUUGCUAACACUUUCAUUUUACAUCGAUGGUGGGCGUUUUGUUUGCAUGUAAGUCUGCGCCUCAUGUGCAUGCAGUUCCCACUGAGGCCAGAAGAGGGCACCAGAUCCCCUGGAACUGGAGUUCCAGUCAUGAGCUGUCUUAUAGCUAUUGAGAAAUGAACCUGGGCCUUCUGUAAGAGCAAUCUGUGUUGUUAUCCACUGAGCCAUCUCUCAGGCCCCUCUUAAAAUCUUUUUUAAAAAAGUAUCUUAUUGCUAAAAGAUAUUUAUUUGAGACAUGGUUAAAGGGAAGCACUGUAUGAGGAAAGGGGUUAUAUUUUUUGCUUUAUGUUAAUUUUUACAUUUGUGUUGUGUGAACGUGUCAGUGAGCUCAGAGGAUAACUCCCCUUCUGCCAUGUGGGUUCCAAGGGUCAAGCUCAGCUAUUUCGUCGGGCUUGUCUACAGUAAAGCGCCUUACUUGCAGAGCCAUCUUACCAGUCCUUAAAUGAUGGUUAAAAAAAAAAAAAUCCUGGUGGGCAGUGGUGGUCCUUGGCAGCACUGAGACAGAGGCAGGUGGAUCUCUGUGCCAUGCAUUCAAGGCCAGGCUAGUCUGCAGAGCAAGUUCCAGGAGAGCCAGAUCUACAUAGACCCUCUCCUGAAAACAAGCAAACAAACAUCCUUUCUUAAUGGAUUGAAAUAUGCUCAAAAUGAGAGUAAUGGCCCACUUAAUUACUAUAGCUCAUCCAUUGGACGGGGAUGUAGUAAGGACUGAGGGUGAGAAAGGGGACUUAGUACGCUAUAUUGUUUGAGAAUGCUUCAGGCAGGAUCUUACAGUCUUCCCUAAAACUCGCCAUCCUGCCUUAGCCUCUGAAGUGUUGGGAUCACUUAGGUGGGGUAUUUGGCCCUGCCUGUGAUGUAAUAGAGUGUUAUCCAAGAAAAUGGUCUUGGAUUAGUUGUCAGUGUAUAUUGAAAACUCUGGAGCGGGGUUGGGGAUUUAGCUCAGUGGUAGAGUGCUUGCCUAGCAAGCGCAAGGCCCUGGGUUCGGUCCCCAGCUCCGAAAAAAAAAAAAAAAAAAGAAAAAGAAAAAAGAAAAAAAAAAAGAAAGAAAACUCUGGAGCAGGUGUCUACAUUGUUUUAGAUAGCAUUCUAAAAUGAUGAGCUAUAAAAGAAGGUACCAACCUAGCUUCAUGAGAAUUAAAGAAUGUGAUUCGGCAGACACUUCAGGGCUCUGGAGAUGGCUCAGCACUUGAGAACAUUUGCAGCCUCCCAGAGAAUUGCAGUUCAAUUCCCAGCAGUCUCAUCAGGUAACUUACAGUGCAGUAACCUCUAAUUCCAGCUCCAGGGCAUCUGUUGCCCUCUCCUGGACUCCAUGGUCACUGCACAGGUGUGUGUGUGUGUGUGUGUGUGUGUGUGUGUGUGUGUGUGUGCGCGCGAGUGUGCACAUGUGUGUCCACACAGAGAUAUACAUAUGCACAUAAUUAAAUCUUUUUUUUUUGUUGUUUUUUUUUUUUUUUCGGAGCUGGGGACUGAACCCAGGGCCUUGCGCUUCCUAGGCAAGCGCUCUACCACUGAGCUAAAUCCCCAACCCCCAUAAUUAAAUCUUUUAAAAGGAAUCUAGGCCUGGAGAGAUGGCUUUGUGGUCACGAGCACUUGUUGCUCUUGCAGAGGACCUGAUAGGAUUCCCAGCACCCACACGGUGGCUCACAACCAUCAGUAGCUCCAGAUCCAGGGGAUCCAAUGGCCUGAUCUGACCUCUGGGGACACUAAGCAUGUACACGGCACACAGACGCACACACAGGCAGACACUCAGGAAACAAAAGAACAAUUCAAAAGUUUAAAAGUUUUUAAUGAGUUCUUUAUUUAUUUUUAUAUAUUUAUUUGUUUUAUUUGUAUGACUACACCAUAGCUGUCUUCAGACACACCAGAAGAGGGCUCCAGAUCCCAUUGCAGAAGUUGUGAGCCGCCAUGUGGUUACUGGGAAUUGAACUCAGGACCUCUGGAAGAGCAGUCAGUGCUCUCAAUUGCUGAAGACAAAGCAAUUGCUAGGAGAAAAAAGGUUUUUUUUGUUUGUUUGUUUUGUUUGUUUUUUGUAUAUCUGAUAGGUACGUAGAUGAGUAGUAACCAGAUAUAUAAAGCAUUAUUUCUCUAUUUCGCCUUUUUUUUGAGACAGUCUCACGUAGCCCAGUGUGUCCCGGAACUAGAACUCCUGAUUCCCAUGCUACACCUUCCAAGUCCUGGAAUACAGGCAUGCUCCACCACAUGUGUUCUAUGCAGUGAUGGGGACCGUAAGCAUUCUACCAACUGAGAUACACAGCCUAGUCCCAGAACUUCUAAACAGUGGAGCCAUCUUGACUCUCUAGGUCAACAGUAAGAUGAAGGUGUUGAAGACUGCAGACUGUGAAGAGCAGAGACUGCCGCUCAGAACCUCCCCUCAGGGGGAGGGCCCUUGCACUGAACAAAGACUGGAAGGCAAAGGAGAGGAGGAGGCUUGCUGGUGGGAGGGCAAUGGCUUGGAGGCUGUGGUUAGGGAGGUUGGAUUAGAGACGGGAGUGUAUUUGGCUUUCUGGUUGGUCCUAAGUUGGAAGCAGGCUAUUGAUCAGGUCCUGGUGUUUGGGACUGAUUGUUCUAGAGGUUAAUAUUUAGCUUCCCAGGAGUCCCUAGAGAUAGCGUCCUGCUUCCUGUAGGCUGCCCACACAGCUGCCCUCCUUGGCUGGUUUCUACAGAUAAGGGUUGCCUUCCUGUUCAGGUCGCUGUGGGUGGGGUCAAAGUUCCAUUUUUAUAGAUGGUCUUUCUGGACCUUGUCCAUUUGGUUAAUCAGGAUCUCACAAACAACCCGAUUUAAAGUUGGGUGAGAUUCUUGAGUAAAUCUGUCAGGAAGAAAAUGCAAUUCAAAACAUAAGUACCUAAAUGACAUUAUCAAAGCAAAACAGACACCCACCACACACAUGUGCACCGCAUACACACAUCACACACCGUCACCAGGUACACAUAUACACAUACCAAACAUAUAAACGCCAGACACAUGCAUGCACUCUCAAAGUUGUCUUUAGACCCCUAGGUGCACUGCCGAAAAGUACCUGUCCACCAACACAUCAAGUGCAUGUGUCAUGCAUACACAGUAAAAAAAAGACCCAGAAGUUUCUAUGUCUAUAAUUUUUUUUUUUUUUUGAAACAGGUUCUAAAGUAGCCCGGGCUGGCUUCGGGCUCAGUAUGUAGCCAAGGUGACUUUGGACUUCUGAUUCUCCUGCUUCUGUCUUCCCAGCGCUGAAAUUACAGGCAUGUACCAUCACAACCAGCUAGGCUUUUCCUUCCUCCCUCCCUCCCUCCCUCCCUCCCUCCCUCCCUCCCUCCCUCCUUUCCUUCCUUCCUUCUUUUCUUUCUUCCUUCCUUUCUUUGAGAUACAUACAAAUCUGCUAUUUAUGUAGCUCAGGCUGGCCUAGGACUCUUAGUAAUCCAUCUACCUCUGUGUCUUGAAUAACAAACAAGAUGUGCAUUCCAAAUCCAGCUUACCCCCAGAAUUCCACUCAAAAGCAAUAAAAGAGAAAAUCUACUCAAAGACUUAGACCAUUAUUUAUUCUAACAAGAAAAUCUACUUGCUUAUGAGCUCGCCGGUGACCAUGCAAGCUCACUGGGGUGCGCUUCUGUGAUGAAAUGCUAGAAGUUUAAAAUGACCCUAGAACAAGCUGUUCCCAUUGGUUCCACGAGCUUCUUACUGAAGCCCAAAGCUUGCUUGUCGGAACUUGUGAAACUGGAGACAGGCUAGAAGUCUCCUUCAGCUCCAACUGCAGGCCAACGCUACAUCCUGGCCCUCAGAUCAGACCCUCCACAGUGGGGGCUUUGAGAAAGUAUCACAAUGGACGUCUUCCUCCUGUGCUAAGCCCCCCCUCCCCCGGCCCCUCAGAAGUCCAGGUUAUUGGCCUUUCUCACUGGGGGCUGCCUGGGAUCUGGCUUCCUCCUUGGUCUUCUUCUGACCUGGAGUACUGAGUGGUUUCCACAGCUUGAUUCAGAUAAUGCUAGUUUUACAUUAGGGGGAGGCACGAGGGUUCCUCUGUGGUGGUUAUAGUGCUUUUGUAAACAGCUGGAAGCUGGUUUCUAUGAUGACUCCUGUUGCUUCUGAACUGUGGGAAGGCACCUAGGCACCGAGAAGAGCUUGGUCAGGCUUUGGCUGCUGUGUGUGUGUGUGUGUGUGUGUGUGUGUGUGUGUGUGUGUGUGUGUGUCCCAAAGUCACAGGGUGUAGAGCCUUUGUGAACUGGGGUCUUGUGAGUGGAUUUUGAGUCAUCUGAUAUGUCCCCACCGGUGACUGUGGCGACAAGCAGGGGACCAUGACAACACUGUCCUUUCAUCUUGGCUUUUUGUUCCCUGACUGAUGAGGUAAGCAGUUUUACCUCACUCUCUGCUCUGGCCAUGAUGUUCCACCUCACGGCAGACAGAAAAGCAGAAGACACAAGACAUGAGCUAAAACUUGUAAAAUCUUGAACCCUUUUUAAUUACCUGAGACAUUUUGUAACUUUAACCAAAAGCUCACUAUCACAUGACUUUUCAUUUUUAGAUAGGAUCUUGCUAGGUAGUCGAGGCUGGCCUGGAACUCAGUCCUCCCGUCUCAACCUGCUACGUGCACAGAUAAGCACCACCAAGCCUACUCUUCUGUCCUCUGUCUCCUCUCCGUGUAGCUCCAUCCUCAGAGCCGAGGUUGUGACCUGGCUUCAGGAGCUCUCGCUGGCUCUCCUUGACCCAUCGCACCAUCCACAAAGACAGAAAGCCUCUUUCUCUCCACCCAUAAAACAAAAUGCUGCUCUCAUCCAGGGACUUUGUCAAUCCCUUGUCAGCUUCUCAGAAAAUGCCACGGUGGUGUGGGUUAUGGCCAGGGGAGAAAGACUCUGGUUUGGCUAAGGCUAAUGAGCUGGUAUGACAUCCAGGGGGAUACGAUGAGUGCUGUCUUGUGGGCUCCCAGGGAAGCGUCGGAAUUGUUUGUGAGCACCACAUUCGUACGAGCACCAUGUGCAGGAUUGUAACCUGCAGGUCUCCUGGGAUCAUAGACCCCAGGCUUGAAAGGCCCCACUAACCUGCUGGUCUUAGAGAACGGCACAAGCCCAUGCUGCUUCUUCCUUAGGGUUUUCAGCAGCCCGUGUGGAAGGGGCUCCCAGCCCACCAUUUCCUCCAGGUGCCCCAGUCGUGCAGGUGUCAGCACGUGGACUGUUUCAAGUCCCAAGAGGCCAAAAAAUCUAAGACUCCCCACUGCCCAGCCCCAUACAGAAGUAUUCCCCCUUGUGAGGGAUUCCUACUGGGGCUGGAGAUUGUGAAUUUUCUCAGGCUCAUCAUAACUCAAACAAAAGACACAGAAUUGAGAGCCAGUGGAGAUGCCAGGGGGAUGGCCUGAAGUCAGACAUCAUUCUUUUGCCUCACUGUGACUAGAGGGCACUCUGCAGGCCUGGUCUGCUUUAUGUACCCUGAGACCUAACUGAAAAGUCUGAACUUUCUCAUUUCUAUUUGGAAUGUCCCUCAAAGCCCACAUUAAAGGUUUGAUAAGAUAGCCUUUAUUGGGAGAUGGAACCUUUAACGGGUGGUAGCUGCAGCCAAGAAAUGACACUCCUAUGCCUAGUGUGCCUAGCUGGGUCCAAUCUCCAGCCCACAGUAACUGGAUGCUGUGGUGCACACUCCGGGGAAGGGUUGGAAGAGGAUCAGAAAUUCAGGGCAAUCCUCAACUAUACAGGGAGUUUGAGUCUAGCCUGGAUGUAGGAAACUUUCAAAUAAAAUACAUAGGGCCUAGUAAGAGGAAGUGAGGUCAUUGAGGGUAUCUCUCUGGGGCGACGGUAGAGUUCGGACUCUUCUGCUUCUAGGUGCCACAAGGCAAACAGUUUACCACCUCGUACGAUCAGCAUGUGCUGUGUCUGCAGGCUCAGAGCAGCAAGAACAAGUGAGCAGGAACCGAACUGAUGCAAAACCUUUCCUCUCUAGAAACGGGACUGCCUCAGGGAUCCCGUCACAGCAGGGGAAGCUGACCAGCACAGAGGUGAGGGCUCUGUUCCUAGAUAGAGACAUGCGUCUGACUCAGGACCAGUGGCGCCAGAUGACACAGCACUGAAAGCCUCUGUUAGUCACCUCUCUGGUUUUUCAGACGCCUUAAAAAAGGAAAGGCAGCGUGCUGUCUCCUAAUAGGAGGGGCUGUGAGGCCGUAGCUGGCUUUCUGACUGCUCUGAAGAAGGGUAACUGUGCAAAACUGUCCCAACAAUAAGAGGCUGAGGCAGGAGUGUGUGUGUGCAUGCGUGUGUGCGUGUGUGCGUUUGUGCGUGUGUAUGUGUGUGUGUGUGUGUGUGUGUGUGUGUUAGACAUUGGUUAGCUUUCUCAAUCGUUUCCCACCUAUUUAUUCUUUUUUUUUUUUUAAACAAAGUUUCACUAACCUUGGCUGAUCUGGAAUUCACUAUGUAGACCAAGCUGGCCUUGAACACAUGGAGAUCCACCUGUCCCUGCUUCCUGAGUGCUGGGAUUAAGGGUGUAUGCUACACGCUUAGCUUCCACAAGCAUGCAAACGCCCACAAAGGCCAAAUAGGAGAAAGGAGAAGAGGUGGCUCAGUGGCUCAGAGCGUCUGCAGCUCCAGCAGAGCCUAGGUCGGUCAGUUCAUAGUACCGAGUCUGUGAUUCCAGAUCUGGGGAUCCAGUGUCCUCUCUGGCCUCCCGAGGCUUGCAGGUGGUGUACAUCUAUCCACACAGGCAAAACACCUCUCCAUGCAGGUGACAGCUUCUGGAGAGGAUUUUCUUCCGUCCUUCCAUGACAGAUGCUCCCUGUCAAUCUUUGAUAAAGCCACUCUCAUGCUUUAUUCCUCGUGGACAAGGUCUUACACACAUUUUGGGGUGGGUAGGGGUCUAAAAGCAGAUGCUUCCUAUCGGCUUGGUCUGAGAUGUUAGGGAUGCCUCAUCUGCAUGUGGAGGGACAUCUCCCCCUAUGUGACUGAUUGUCCAGUGUUCUUCACGUGUUCCAGGACAGGAACCUGGUCAGGAGUAUGUGACACACCUACUGUACCUCAGGUAUGAGGGUACCAGGGUUUCUGAACCCACUCGGCCUUACCAAGUUUCCUGGCACGGCCCACUGCCCCACACCCUAUGUUCACGAACAAACAUUCUUCUGUAGAACCCAUCAACCAUUUCCCAUUGAAGUGCCCAUCUCUCCUCCCGACCUUCCAUGGCCCUGUGUGCAGCUCUAGGGGUCAAGAAUAUCCCUACCUCAGGGUCUUUGUGUUUGCUCCUCACCAAAAGUCUUUUUCUUCAUCUCUUCUCAUUGGCCUCUGUCCUUCUGACCCUCACUGUCAUUGUAGCUCCUUGGCUUCCCUGCUCUGGGCACUGUGCCCCUGCUCUUUGCUACGUGCCCUGGGAAUUGAAUUUCCCUUGCUGGAAGAGGAGGUAUACAAUUUCAGUUGUCACAACUGGAACGGGGGUGGCUGCUGGUAUCUAGUGGGUGAAUGCCAGGGACAUCUGUCACUCAUCUGUUCUUUGUACUGUAUAUAGGGGAUAAGGCUUCUUGUCAGGAAGUGGCUCGUUGUGUCUGUGGGGGCUGACAGGUCAGAGGCGACAGCAGCGAGAAACCUGAAGGUGUGUCCAGUCCAAAGGCUGUGAGCUCCUGAGAGGUAUUUCCGUUUAAGCCCUAGGGCAGGAAAGCUUUGAGAAGGCAGUGCUAAUCGUUUUCUCAGACUUAGGUCCCUUUCCAGCCUUUAGACUGACUGAUGGUCGAAGCCCCUCCAUGUAGCUUUAUGAAUCUAUAGUCUGAAUGUUGGUACCUCCUAUGUGUAUGUGGUCAAGCCCUGCCCCACAAUGGGAACCUGUGGAGAAGGGAUCAGGUAGUCGGCUGAGAGCCUCCCAACCAAACCAGCGUCCUUAAGAAAACAUAAGGGAUCCUACUCACCCUUUGGGUCAUGUGUGAGCACACAGUAGGUGCAGUCUGUGGGGAGCCCUGUCCAGCAGAUCUUCCUCAAUCUUGGACGUCAGCCCCCUGAAUUAUGAGAAAUCAACUUUGUUUAUGAGCCCCGCCCCUAAUCUGCACUGUUUGUUACAGCAGCCUGGACAGACAGUACAAGUCAUUGCCUGUUUAGACACCAGCUCAUCUAGAAGUACCUCAUAGACACCUCCUAACCUAGUCAAGUGACACAUUAAAAUAACCCUCACCCCAUCCUACGAAACCACAAGUCUCUAGUCCAAACGUCAGGAGUAUUGAGACAGAGAAGCUCUGGCCUAAGGUUGGGGUAAGAUUUAUCUCAAUUCAAAGGUGUGUCCAGGACAGAUUGUGUGAAAAGGCAUUUGCUUGCUUGAUUGGUUUAUUUUUUAUCAUAGUAGGGAUCAAACCCAGUGCCUUGAACAUGGUAAGCAAGAUAGGUCAAGAGCCCCACUAUUGAACUACACCCCAAAACUCCUCACACACCCUCUUUAAUAGAUAUUACCAUGUUGUCUCCCAGAAAGAUUACCCUAUUGAACUGCCUCUUUACAGUAUCUGAGGGAUCUGGCCAUGGUGGCCCACGACUGUUAACCCAACUCUUGGGAAGCAGAGGCAGGAGGAUUGCUGACAGUUCCAGGCUAGCCAAGGGCUACUCAGCAGGAUCCUGUCUCAGACAAUGUAAAACAAAGUAACAGUGAGAGAAUGUAUUUUCUCACCACGGGAUGGCUUUGUGUUGAUUGCAAGUUGACAUGACCUAGAAUAACAUUGGAGACAACUCUCUCAGCAUGCCUGUGAGGAAUUGUCUAGACUAGGUUGAGGGAGGAGGAUCCACCCACCGUGGACGGCACCAUUCCCUGAGGUAAGGUCUAGAACUGAACAAAAAGCACAAACAUGCCCAGUGCCAGCAUUCAUUGCUCAUUGCUUCCUGACGACAAAUGCAAUCUGGCCUCAAGCGCCUGUGUGCUGCAGUGUAGUCCCUCAGACUGUGAGCUAAAUAAACCUUCCUCCCAGCUUGCUGGGAGAAAUAACUAAAACUCAUUGCGAACUAUUUAUGCUUUGCUUUUUUCUUAUCAAAGCGAUACAUAAUCGAGUCUUCAAUCAGCCAAAACUAUGUCGCCCUCUACAGUGGACUGAUACUCAUUUCCUUUUCUUGAGUCUGACUGUCCUGUAGGCCAGGGAGCCUUAAUUUGCUAUCAGCUGAGGCUGGCCUGCCUACACCUCCCAAGAGCUGAGAUUGCAAGCAUGCCAGAUGCAACCCCAUGCCAGAUGGGUUAAUUGCUUCCUAAUUAGUUUUCUGAUAGUUUGCUGACUGUCAACUUGAAGCCCCUGAGUCAUCAGUGUUCAUUGUAAGUGGCUUUGCUGGCUCUACGUGUUGCUAACCUGAGGUGGACACACUGGGAGAGGCAGAGGUUAGUGUCUGGCCUGAGUUGUCCAUGGGGAAUGGGAUCUCCUCAGAUCCUAGACAUCCUCAAAGUCUGGAUAGCGAGGCCCCCUCCUGAGCAGCCCUAAACCUGGCCACCUCCUAACUUCCCUCUGCACAGCCUUUAUCUUCCGUGCUGAGGGACUUAGUUUGGUCCUGCAGAAGGAUCCUCUUUCUGGAGCCAGACGUGCCUGGGGGCAGUUGGCUCAAUUCUAGUCUCUAGAUAUUUUUGCCUCCUUGUCCCCCUUAGUCCCAGCCUGAAGGCAUCUCGUAGCCCUGUGUUCUUUGCUGUAAAGUGGCUCCUGCUUAUCUGCCCACCUUUGGGCAACUGUUUUUAGGGUUUGAAAACCACUUCUCGGUGGCCUGGGGGUUGUAGGUGCCACCAUUCCUCUGCACACGCAGAUCCUCUCACAAACGCGGAUCCUCUCACAAACACAGAUACUCUCACAAAUGCCUGGGUCCUCUCUGAAGUAUAAAGGGGUGUGGUUGGUGCUGGCCAAGCCUGCCCUGCCGCAUACUCCUGCUCUUUGUCACUCUGCCCACAGCACUUGCAUAACUGAGUGACGCAGGGAACUUCCGGUCUGUUGAGAUUCGUUGCCACUGUUCCCAUCGAUUGUCCCAAAGACUGGGCCCCUCCCUCAUCCACAUGUGUAGGUGGCUGGACUACACCUACCUGCCUUUCAUAAGUUCCUCCCUGAACAGGAGUCUUGUGCUUCCUCCCCUCUCUUCCUGUUCCCUGGGGAAGAGAGGUACAAGGUCCUUUUAGUCAAGUGAAAGGAUUUGCCCGGUGUCUCAGGAUCCUCUUCAAGGCUCGACCCCACCCCAGCCCAUGAUGCCGCUGUAUCUUGCAGCUCCUCCAGAGGACCAGAAUUUGAUUUCCCAGCACCUAAGUGGGGUAGCUCACAACUGCUUUUAACUUUUGAUAUGUAAGAAGUAAAACAUUAGAAACCAAGAAUCAGACAUUCUGGUUUUUGGUUUCUAUGGGCAUGUGCAUUACACAAAGAAAAAUAAAGUAUUUUAAAAAUGGCCUCUGUUUCUGACUUUCAGAGUCCUAUUCUUGGUAGACAUCUACCUCCCAGUCCCCUACUGGUCUUCCCUGACAGGGUUCCUGCUUCCUGAAUUCCUCCUGUCAGGUGUCACUUUUUUGUUUGCUGAGACAUAAGCACUCUUAAAUGUCCUGUUAGCAGCUGUAGCCAGGACUGAAGGACCAUGUGGACACGACCAUCCUCCUCUGGACACCAGCAAAGCAUGUGUGUAGGCAUUCAUGCCCCAAGGUGAGAGUUCAGCUUCCUCCAUCCAUUCUUCUGUUUACCAUCCACCCAGCCGCCCGCCCCAUUCAUUUUGCAGUUUUUUGUAGUUUAUGUUUUGUAGUGGUUCUGGAUGUGGGACCCAGGGCUUGAUGGACGCACCCUAUCACUGAGCGGCAUCCUAGAUGUCAUUUUUUGUUUUUAAUAUUGAGAUGUGGAACCAUAGAAACCAAGUUCCCUGUGUAUCUGUUCCCCUGUCGUGAAUUUAUCAGUGGCCCCGUGUAGUUCCCCUGACUUCAUGUCCACGGACAUCACAUGUGAUGUUUGCAGGGUUAGUCCAGUGUGAGUGGGGCCAUCCCAGUGUGGAAAUGUUCUCCAGUGUUUUGUUAGCUUUUCUGCUGUCAGCUUACGUUCUGUGAUUCUUCAUCUAAAGUAUCAAGCACAUGUGUUAUAAGGGUCCAAAACUCACGGAAGACCACAGACUCUGAUAUUAUGAAAAAAAAAAAAAACAAAAACGAGUGUUUAUUUCACUCAGGCCUUCUCACAGGGAACCAGGGGGACUCUCUAGAAGGAUUAGGUAAUCUAAAAUUUCAUUGGUGUGUGCUGGGGGGGGGUCAUAGGUGAUCAGUGUUCUACAUUCCUAUGUCACGAACAUUCAUUCAUAUGAUGAAAUAGGGCCAUCCGGGGCAGACGGUCCGUUCUGAGAUAUAUCCCCAGGCUUUUCUUUGGGAGGGGGGUUUAUGAUCUUGUUCUGCAUUUUAUCGUCUAUUCUGGGAGCUGGUGCCUUGUGACCUACUUCUGGGACUUAUGGUCUGUUCCCAAAGCCGGUGCCUUAGGACCAUUUUUGAAAUCAGGCCUGGUCCUCAAGAGACAAAUGGGGUUUGUCCUUUCAGUGUUAAAACUGGUGACACCAUUGCAAUGCAUUCUUCUGCUUGUCUUGAUUAAUAUUUAAUUUAUUUUAAUCUUCGAGCACUCUUGUGCAUGUGUGCAUGUAUGUUCAUGUAUGUGAGCAGGGCAUACGAAUGCCGCAGAUUGUGUGGGGAGGUCAGAGGACCACCUCAAAUGUCAGCGUUUGCCUUCUUUCUGGUUUGAGACAGGAUCUCUUGUUGCCUGCUGUGUUCACCAGGCUAGCCAGCCUUUGGACUCUCCUAUCUCUGCCCACCAUCUAGCCAGAAUAAUGAAGUGAAAGAAGUUCAGUUAAAGACCUUGUCCCAAAAAAUAAAAGGUAGAAACCGAUAGAGGAAAUCAUUUGAUACCUAUCUCUGGCCUCCAUACACAUACACGGACAGACAUACAAAGGGACAGAUGGGGAAGGAAGCUUUAGGGUUGUAUCAACUAUCAACAGAAAGGACAGAUCAUUUUUUGCCCUAGUUUUCCUUCCCAGUUGACAACCUCAUGAAAAGCGCCUUAGGAGAGAAAUGGAUUGGUUUAGCUCACAAUUCCAGAUGUAGUCAAUCACUGAGGGGAAGUUGAGGUGGGCUGGUCACAUUGUAGUCUUAGCAGAACAAAGAAUGAACACAUAGGUGUAUGUGUUCAGCUUUUCCCAUUCACAGUCCAGGGCCAACCCCAGGGAACAGUGGCCCACAGUGGGCUGGACCUUUCCACAUCAGUUAGCAAGACAAUCCCUGACAACCAGCCAACCUGAUCUAGGCAGCCAUUCUUUUAGAUUUCCUUUCCAUUAGGCUGUGUCAAGUUGACAAGCUAACCACGACAGUUCUCAUGAGAGUCAAUCACGGGUAGGGAAGGGGCUCAUGUGGUCCUACAGGACCGUUGGAGGCUGGUGGGGUCAGGGAGGACCACCGUUGUUGUCACCUGCAGGUGGGGUCAGAGAGACUCAUUGUUUAAAUUUCACGCCCACUUGUGACUCCACCAAGCUCCAGUCACACAAACAACCCUGGUUAAACUAGUCACAAAAGAAAGGUGUGGGUUAGGACAAAGGGUUUGGAGGGAGUCAGCGGGUGUGGGAGGGACACAGUGUAGAGGCAAAAGCCCCAGGUCAAAUUUUAUAGUGUAUAGGUUUGGAAAAAAUGCAUCGUGCAAUGUGUCUGUUGUUGUAAUAUGCAGCAGGCCCUGCCUCCACCCUCCUAGUCCCUGAUCUCUGUAUUGGGUCCAUAAUUUUACCUUUUCCCAUGUAGUGGAACUGAGCUCACAAUGUACUUACUGUCUUCUCAGGCUGGUUUCUGAACUCAUCCCCUUUGUGUCUUCUUGGGCUUUGGGACACUUGACUCUUUUCACACCAGCUGACAGCUCUGUAUGGAUGUGUCCAGAUCUGAUACUGAGCUCCCCUACUGAAGGACACUGAUGUCCUCCAAAUUCGGGACAGUUAUGGAUGAAGCUGAUACUAAUAUCUAUAUGCAGGUUUUUGAAAGGACAGAGUUUUGUUCUUGGUUUUUUGAGACAGGGUUUCUUUGUGUAAAAGUCUAUCCUGGAACUCACGCUGUAGACCAGGCCGGCCUCAAACUCACAGAAAUCCACCUGUCUCUGCCCUCCAAAUGCUGGGACUAGAGGAAUACUCUCAACAUGUCCAGUUGAGGACAUAAAGCAGUGGUUCUCAGCCUGUGGGUCAUGACUCCUCUGCUGGACCCUUUCACAUGAGUCACCUAAGACCACCAGAAAACAUAUUUACAUUAUAAUUCAUGACUGUGGCAAAAUUCCAGUUAUGAACUAGCAGCAAAAAUAGUAUCAUGGUUGAGGGUCCCACAACAUGAGGAACUGUGUUCAAGGGUGUUAACUGUGUUAGGAAAGUUGAGAACCACUGUCAUUUUUUUAAAUACCAAGAAGCAUAGUAACUGGUCAAGUAGCGAGAUCACAUAUACUUUUGUAAGAAACUUCUCUGUGUCUCUGGUGGUUUUACUGCUAAGUUUUAAGAGUUCUUUGUAUAAUUCAGAUAGCAGCUGAAUCAGAUGUGUCUUUUACAAAUAGAGUCCCCCCCCCUCCUGUGGUUUUUCUUGUUCUUUUGACAGUGUCCACUGCAAGACAAACUAUUUAAACUCUAGCUUUCUUUCUUUUUUUUUUUUUUGAGCCAAAAUUUUAUUUAUUCAUUUCUUGCAUUUGAAGUACUCCUCGAUAACAUCCUUGGCCUGAGAUUCUUUGCCAUAGUCCUUAACUACAACUCAACUGCAACCAACCACUUUCCGUGGCUUCCCCUCUCGAUCGAUUUUACAGAGGCCUACCCAUUCCCCUAGUUUCUUGUUGUCAUCAACCUUUAUCAGGUUGAUCUGGUGCUCGGCACAGAGCGCCUCCACCAGCUUGACAUACAUGGGCUCAUCACAGUUGGAUGCAAGCACGCAGAGAUGGGCUUGGCGCUUGUCUAAGGCUUUGGCAGCUUCGCGUAUGCCACGUGCUAGGCCAUCGUGGAUGAGGGCGGUCUUCAGCACCUCUUGUAGAGCAGUGUUGACGUCCAUUACACCUCCAGCAGCUAUGCCUUCCUCGGCCAUGGCGGUGGAUUACGGGUGACGCCGAAUCUUGAACGCACCCGAGCUUCCGCCUCCGCGGAACUUGGCGGCGGCAGGGGAAAAACUCUAG
This is a non-coding RNA of Rattus norvegicus (Norway rat), 23519 nucleotides long. NCBI's taxonomy places the organism in Eukaryota, Metazoa, Chordata, Mammalia, Rodentia, Muridae. The record is from RefSeq and is a predicted model, not a curated record.